GACGAACGCUGGCGGCGUGCUUAACACAUGCAAGUCGAACGGAAAGGCCUGCUUUCCCUUGUGGAUUGCGGGUACUCGAGUGGCGAACGGGUGAGUAACACGUGAGUGAUCUGCCCCCAACUUGGGUAUAAGCCUGGGAAACUGGGUCUAAUUCCCGAUAGGACUGCAGGGUGGUGCCUGUGGUGGAAAACGAUUUUCUAGUGGUUGGGGAUGAGCUCGCGGCCUAUCAGCUUGUUGGUGGGGUAAUGGCCUACCAAGGCGGCGACGGGUAGCCGGCCUGAGAGGGUGGACGGCCACAUUGGGACUGAGAUACGGCCCAGACUCCUACGGGAGGCAGCAGUGGGGAAUAUUGCGCGAUGGGCGGAAGCCUGAGGCAGCGACGCCGCGUGGGGGAUGACGGCCUUCGGGUGGUAAACUCCUUUCGACCGCGAGGAAGCCACCUGGUUGGAAGGGUGGUGACGGUAGUGGUAGAAGAAGCACCGGCUAACUACGUG
This 494-nucleotide ribosomal RNA is filed under the name uncultured bacterium. RNAcentral describes it as "partial 16S ribosomal RNA". It matches the Rfam family "Bacterial small subunit ribosomal RNA", at positions 28 to 507 of the family's 1533-position model. The record is from RNAcentral.